This 111-nucleotide non-coding RNA is filed under the name Arthrobacter sp. RNAcentral's name for it is "SAM-IV sequence". It matches the Rfam family "SAM (S-adenosyl methionine) riboswitch aptamer". From Rfam's summary of the family: SAM-IV is a mRNA element that regulates gene expression via direct sensing of S-adenosylmethionine (SAM or AdoMet). Lineage: Bacteria; Bacillati; Actinomycetota; Actinomycetes; Micrococcales; Micrococcaceae. The record is from RNAcentral.
CUUCAUGAGAUGCGGCGCCAAGCUCCGACUGGCCGCACACCAACCCCAUGCUUCACGGGUGGUUCGGAUGAGGAAGUGACCGGUGGAAACGUUCCACGGUAAGAGCACGCA